Non-coding RNA from Benincasa hispida (wax gourd), 589 nucleotides. NCBI's taxonomy places the organism in Eukaryota, Viridiplantae, Streptophyta, Magnoliopsida, Cucurbitales, Cucurbitaceae. The record is from RefSeq and is a predicted model, not a curated record.
CAUUGCAAUGCUACAAAUUUUGAUGAAAAAGUGAAAAACGAGCACGCUUCACACAAACAACAUUCAACACUCUCAAUAGCAUUGCAAUGUUAUGGGUUUGACAGAAAAAUAAGUGCGCCUUGCAAAUGCUACGGGUGUUCAGUCGACUGCUCUUCUCCCUCUUGUGAAAUUUCUGCAAUUCCUCACAAAAUUCCAAUCGUCACAAUGCUCUCAAGUCGACAAAGCUUCAAGCAUUGCUGGCCCCUCGUCUUCUAAAAAACCUAAGUGAUUCGAGAUCAAAAAGUGGAAUGUUGACACUCUCUGGGCUUAGAGUAUUGAAUGUCAGGCGAAUCAAGCGAGUGCUACUAGUGAGGAAUGUACUGUCUCUUGAGAAAACUGAGGAGCAGAAGCUCAAAGAGCAGAGAUUCAAGGCAAACAAGAACAAGCCUAUCAUGAUAGAGUAAUAACAACAUGAAUGUGUAGGUUGUAGGUAAUAUUGUAGUCAAGUUUGAAUUUCUAUAAUGGAACCAGUUUUCAUACUCUUUGUAUGUUAUAACAUUCUGCAAUUGGAGCCUUUUUGUUUGCAAUGACAAUGUGUCGAUCUUCCCAA